GGGCGGUUAGCUCAGCUGGAAGAGCACCUGGUUUACACCCAGGGGGUCGGCGGUUCGAACCCGUCACCGCCCACCA
RNAcentral lists this transfer RNA (76 nucleotides) under Propylenella binzhouense. RNAcentral describes it as "tRNA-Val". It matches the Rfam family "tRNA". From Rfam's summary of the family: Transfer RNA (tRNA) molecules are approximately 80 nucleotides in length. The record is from RNAcentral. Lineage: Bacteria; Pseudomonadati; Pseudomonadota; Alphaproteobacteria; Hyphomicrobiales; Propylenellaceae. RNAcentral also lists the same sequence under 1 other name.